RNAcentral lists this ribosomal RNA (469 nucleotides) under uncultured bacterium. RNAcentral describes it as "partial 16S ribosomal RNA". It matches the Rfam family "Bacterial small subunit ribosomal RNA", at positions 28 to 507 of the family's 1533-position model. The record is from RNAcentral.
GACGAACGCUGGCGGCGUGCUUAACACAUGCAAGUCGAACGGAAAGGCCCUGCUUGCAGGGUGCUCGAGUGGCGAACGGGUGAGUAACACGUGGGUGAUCUGCCCCUUACUUUGGGAUAAGCCUGGGAAACUGGGUCUAAUACUGGAUAGGACCAUGCUGUAGGUGGUGUGGUGGAAAGAUUAGUUUCGGUAAGGGAUGAGCUCGCGGCCUAUCAGCUUGUUGGUGGGGUAAUGGCCUACCAAGGCGUCGACGGGUAGCCGGCCUGAGAGGGUGGACGGCCACAUUGGGACUGAGAUACGGCCCAGACUCCUACGGGAGGCAGCAGUGGGGAAUAUUGCACAAUGGGCGCAAGCCUGAUGCAGCGACGCCGCGUGGGGGAUGACGGCCUUCGGGUUGUAAACUCCUUUCAGCCAUGACGAAGCCCUUGUGGUGACGGUAGCGGUAGAAGAAGCACCGGCUAACUACAUG